UGAUCAUGACUAACGAAAAUCUGAGCUAUGCUGGUAAACUGAUAUUGGCAAAAGAGUCGCUUUUUCUUUGCCUGAUUGGAUAAAUAUGCAGCUGGUUUUGGAAUUAAUUCUUCUGUGAGUGAAAUUAAAAGGUGUUACUUUAAAAUGCUCCUGUAUAUAUGCAACAGAAUUUAGUCACCAGAAAUGUCAUGGCCAAUACAAAAGAUGCAAGACUGUAAGCAGUACAUGUAGAAAAUCAAGUGAAUGCUCCUGGUUAAUAUUUCGACUUCAUCCAUUUUUUAAAAGCUCCGGUGGUGGUUCUGUGUGUAAAUGUUUCUACCUUUUGACACAGAUUCCUUUUAUCACAAAGUACUACAUUCAGUUUAAGACUGGUCCAAAACAGCUGUAGUUGCUGGUUAAAUUUCUUGCCAGGCUUGAAGCUUUUAAUUAUGUUCUUAUGUUCGUUUUUAAAGGAAAUAGUUUAAUUUCUAUAAAACAGAAAAAUCAAAUAUAGCUGUGUAUUUUCUCAUGUUCCAGGAAUUCUAAAAGGGUUUCAGGACCAGACUGUUCUGUUCUUAACUCAUUCCCUGUGCUUUGAUCUAUGUAUGCAUGCUGGUGAGAAAACCAUUGUGGGUGCCUGGCAGGGAGGCCCCCAGCACUUCCCCACACACACAGCGCCUGCAGCAUCCACGGUUCUGGGGGAGGGCUGAGAAGUAGCACAAGGCACAGUUGCAUCUAUUGUGCCUCUUUUUCUGAGGGCAACAAACCUUCCUGUACCAACCAGACCCUGCUGACCGCUACACCUAUGCAGCACAAACCCUGAAUGCAAGAAGAUAACAGCUGUUAUCACAGUGCUUUUUAUCUGGGAGGCAAAGUCUAAAAUUGCAUCUGACCUCUGUGUGUGCAGAGACGCCAAGUGAUGAGAGCUCUGCCUAGAUCCUCAGAGGUUUUAGAUUAGAUCGCGAAGAGUGAGGUACCUAAAUGAAUAGUUCCAGGGAUAAUAGCUUCUGUGUCUUCUAUCCAUGUGUGGUACAAAGUAGACUCCAAACUGUAAUUUAUCAAAUGAUAUAUUGCGAGCCUUAGAAAACACAACAGGACUUUUGUGUUGUUUUUUUUUCCCUAAUGGGUUUACUAAUAUAUAAAAUUACAACACUCCAUUUACUUAUAGAAUCAUACAAGUAAUUAAACUAGCUAUAGGAUAGAUUUAACUUAUUUAUCUACAAGUCAAUCUUCUGAUUGCCCUAGGUCAAUGGUUUUUAUCAACAAAGCUCCAUAAUAAUAGAUUUUCUUAAUAAUGCCAAUAGGGUAUGUAUAACAAAAAAUAUAGAAACACAUCUGUCUGUUAAGUGUGUGUGCGUAUAUCAGUCUUUGCAUAUAUACAUUUCUAUACAGCACAGGCUCAGGGGAAAACAGAUCAAACCCACAUGUUAUGUGUCUAGAGAAAUAAUAAUUUUGAGCUUGGCUAAGGCAAUAGAAUGAGUUCUUAUUUUUCUUGAAUAUUGGGGUCUGCUUGCUUGCCCAGUCAUUUGUUUAGAUUUCAGUGGAAAUACAGUAACACAUACUAGAAAAUUAAAUUAAUUGGAAUUAUGUUCCUCCAUGAUAAGACUUGAAAUGAGAUUUAAAUCAGUGUGUGCUUGGUAAAACAUGGCAAUUUGAUGCCUGUUCCACAAAACUGACAACCGCAUCUAGUUGUUUUUCUUCUGAAUUUGAUCAGAUAAUUUGGUCAAAACUUGGAGAAUAUCUAACAGUUACACAAUCAGACAGAUUUGUUCAAAAAAUUACAACAUAGUGAGGGAAACUCAAUUAGUUUUGUCAGCAAAUAUAAAGGCACUAGCUUGGACUUCCAGAAACUGUCCAAAGCUUUUACAAAUACUCUUGAUUCAGCUAAAAUCAUGCUAAUUAUAUGUUGGGCUCAAAAAAUCCUCAUUAAAACAACAUUAUUUGUGUCAUAAUGUCCAAACCUGAAAAGACAGGAAAUACUGCAAUUAGUAAGCAAUUGCUCUGACAAACUGGUGUGUACAUAUAUAUAUAUAUAUAUUUAAUCAUAUGACUGUAAAAAUUGCUCCACAGCCUUCCACAUGUGUUCAAUAUCUCAGUUACUUAAUAUCUUUUUUAGACCCACUGUAUGGACAUGGUGUUUACUUUAUUCAAAUUCUACUGCAGAGAACCAUAUUGAUUUCUUUUUUCAUUUUUUUUCUCCUGUAGUUCCUGUCACCGCAAUAUUUCAAUGCUUCACAAAUUCUAAUGGUUUUUUUGCUAGUACCAAAGAUAUAUUUGUUGUCACAAGUCCAGCUUUUCUACUUCAGAGGCACUCAUCACUUGGAGAGGCAGUGCACAGAAAGGACACCUUUGAAUAGCGAAGGCAAGCCACAGGCCAGAUUUCUGCAGGGAUUUUUGAAGAGGAAAGGGCACAAAUCAAAAAGCAUUGAAAACUCUAUUUGACUGACAGACUGUUUUUAACUAACCCAUGAUGAUGAUGGUGAACCGGAAUGAAGAAUGAGAAACAAUAUUAAACUGUCAGUGGCUGUGUCUACGAGACUGGUGAGAACAGCUCUUCUUAUCUGUUAAAAUUGGUGGAUCUGGCAAAAGAAAAACUGAAACAAAGGUUCUCCCAAAUCCCAUCCCAACAACCUGUCAGUGCUCCCUGGAGCAGCAUUGGUGGUUUCUGACCCUGCACUCGAAUCACUCUGCUGGGAUGUUUUCUGCUCAGCACUGGGGCCAGUUUUGCUUCCUGAACUUCAAGAGUGACAUCCUAGUUACACAGAAAAAAAAUGGCCUUGUUGUGAAUCCUACCAGUGCGGAGGAAGGCGAAGGCCUGAGCACACGGCUCCUCCUGUGCCACUGCCGCUGGGGACACCAACACACUGCAGAGUCAUCCCACCACUGCUGGCCCUUUGGAUGGACCUGCUACGUUAUGUGACAUGGAUCAUUUCCAGUCAGCCUUGUAUUGAAAUCUGUCAUCGCCAAAGUUUGGAAAAUCAACUUAAAACCAACUUGGAAGACUUCUGCCCAGACCCUUUGCUUUUACAUGCCACGAGUCGGCUCUCUGCUCCCAGGUCCACGCUGCUGUAAGGAAUCAAACUCCAAAGAAGGCACUACAUAUUUUUCUGGAAUUUAGAAACAAGAUCCCUAUGGUCUGCUGGUAAAAUGUAGACACUGCAGUGAGAGUAAUGAAAUGUCCAAGAUCUUGAAUAAGCAUGGGAUGGAAACUGGGAGUCAGUGGAGGAUAAGGAGCCCAGGUGUGAUGUGCUUAGGGACAGGACUGCUGAGAGGGUAGGAUGCCAGUCUGCAGGUGAGGGGAUUUUACAAAUCAAACAAAGCUCUGAUGAGACUUCCACCUCCUUUCCAAAAAAACACCAAGACCAUGGAAAAAUUGUUUCCAAGAAGAAGACUUCUUCCUCGCUCCUCAUCUGCACAGAAGCCAUUGCCCAAGAUUCAUCGUUGCAACCACUCUGAAAGGCACCUUUUCACACAGUGAUGCCAUGAUUACCAAGAAGCAAGGAGCGCAGGGCAG
Corapipo altera (White-ruffed manakin) is the source of this 3493-nucleotide long non-coding RNA. RefSeq lists it as uncharacterized. The transcript is spliced from 11 exons. The record is from RefSeq and is a predicted model, not a curated record. Lineage: Eukaryota; Metazoa; Chordata; Aves; Passeriformes; Pipridae.